RNAcentral lists this ribosomal RNA (208 nucleotides) under uncultured bacterium. Its description in RNAcentral is "partial 16S ribosomal RNA". It matches the Rfam family "Bacterial small subunit ribosomal RNA", at positions 568 to 775 of the family's 1533-position model. The record is from RNAcentral.
CGCGUAGACGGCUUUUUAAGUCUGGAGUGAAAGUCCUGCUUUCAAGGUGGGAAUUGCUUUGGAGACUGGAAAGCUUGAGUGCGGAAGAGGUAAGUGGAAUUCCCAGUGUAGCGGUGAAAUGCGUAGAGAUUGGGAAGAACACCAGUGGCGAAGGCGACUUACUGGGCCGUAACUGACGUUGAUGCGCGAAAGCGUGGGGAGCGAACAG